UAUGACCAGCACAGUGGACCUUAAAGCAUAAUAUGAAAUGGAUUUAAAAAACCAUAGGAACUCUCUAAUCAGAUGCGACCGAAUCAAUCGUGUCUCCCAAAACGCAAAAGUUGCAACAGCGUUUUGAUUAACUCUCCGCCUCGGCAUCACGGCUGCAGAUUUGGAACGUCGGAGUUGCAUCGUGAUUCGGCCUCAAUCAUCAUCGUGUUCAAGCUUCAACAUCAUCUCGCAGUCUCAAAUCCGCAUCAAUAACUCAGCUCGAGAUUCAUCAUUUCCGCGCGUACAAACGGAGAGAACGGAAUUGAAAUUAAAGCGAGGAACUCACCGGUUCGACGUGGCGGUGAAAACAGCAUGUUUGUGGGACUAUUGAUGAUUGGUGAUGAAGUGAAAGCUUUCAAGGUUUGUGAAGGAUAGAUUGGAUUGCUAUGGACUUUGGUCAUGUUGUAACUUUUGUUGAUUGAAUGUAUUAGAAAUUUACUUUGUAUGUAUAUUUGGAAUAGUUUAAUAUAUAUUUGGAAUUGAAUGAUGGGGUUUAUGUAAAUGUCUGGAAGGGAUUUGAAGAUCAACUUGAAAUGGUUUUAUGGAAUUUCAAAUUGAAAUGCUUGAAUGUAAAUUUGUAAAUACUAUGAAUGUACAUUUGUAAUUUUGGCAAUGAAUUUAAAUGUUAAAUUUGGAUA
This is a long non-coding RNA of Lathyrus oleraceus (garden pea), 677 nucleotides long. RefSeq lists it as uncharacterized. The transcript has 2 exons. The record is from RefSeq and is a predicted model, not a curated record. NCBI's taxonomy places the organism in Eukaryota, Viridiplantae, Streptophyta, Magnoliopsida, Fabales, Fabaceae.